GAUGAACGCUAGCUACAGGCUUAACACAUGCAAGUCGAGGGGAAACGAUAGAGAAAGCUUGCUUUUUCUAGGCGUCGACCGGCGCACGGGUGAGUAACGCGUAUCCAACCUGCCCAUCACUUGGGGAUAACCUUGCGAAAGUAAGACUAAUACCCAAUGAUAUCUCUAGAAGACAUCUGAAAGAGAUUAAAGAUUUAUCAGUAAAGGAUGGGGGAUGCGUCCCAUUAGCUUGUUGGCGGGGUAACGGCCCACCAAGGCGACGAUGGGUAGGGGUUCUGAGAGGAAGGUCCCCCAUAUUGGAACUGAGACACGGUCCAAACUCCUACGGGAGGCAGCAGUGAGGAAUAUUGGUCAAUGGGCGCGAGCCUGAACCAGCCAAGUAGCGUGGAGGACGACGGCCCUACGGGUUGUAAACUCCUUUUAUAAGGGGAUAAAGUUGGCCAUGUAUGGCCAUUUGCAGGUACCUUAUGAAUAAGCAUCGGCUAAUUCCGUG
RNAcentral lists this ribosomal RNA (493 nucleotides) under uncultured bacterium. RNAcentral's name for it is "bacterial SSU rRNA". It matches the Rfam family "Bacterial small subunit ribosomal RNA", at positions 28 to 507 of the family's 1533-position model. The record is from RNAcentral.